RNAcentral lists this unclassified non-coding RNA (337 nucleotides) under Hevea brasiliensis (rubber tree). Lineage: Eukaryota; Viridiplantae; Streptophyta; Magnoliopsida; Malpighiales; Euphorbiaceae. The record is from RNAcentral.
GGAAAAUUACAAGAAAAACAAGUAUUCAACUUAAAAGAACUCAUAAUGAGAAACAUUGGCAGAUUCUGUGGUGCAUACCCAAAAGCUAGAUCCCAAGGAAUACUAACACAGCAGAGGAAAUAUCAGUUUACUAUCGACUUCAGGAGACUAGAAGGGGUGGGUUUCGGGAUCAUAUAAUAUGACAACCAAAGCGAUAAAAACCCACACUAUGAGGACGCCAAUCACAGCAGUUCUCCACAAGUAAUCCCAGUUCUAAUUAAUGGGAACGUCGGCCUCAAAAUUCAGAUGUGGUGACAGCAGAUCCUCACCAUCACUAACAUAUUCAGUUGAAUCUAUC